This 818-nucleotide long non-coding RNA is filed under the name Mus caroli (Ryukyu mouse). Its description in RNAcentral is "lncRNA (MGP_CAROLIEiJ_G0004574.1)". The record is from RNAcentral. Lineage: Eukaryota; Metazoa; Chordata; Mammalia; Rodentia; Muridae.
GAGUCUAGCGCCUACUAAACUUUCUAUGGAGCAAAAAAUGCUAAAGAUGGUUCCUUGGUUUGGAUCAUUGGGAAAUUAUUCUUUGGAUUGGUGCAGUCAGGAGCUUGGUGUUGUUUUGAUGAAUUCAACCGAAUCAGUAUAGAAGUCCUCUCAGUCAUCGCCUCGCAGGUCCUGGCGAUCAAGAUUGCCAAAAGCAGCUAUUCUGUCAGGUUUGUGUUGGCGUGAUUCUAGUGGGCCCAACAGGCGGAGGAAAGACGACAGUCAGGAAAAUUUUAGAGAAAGCAUUGAUAACACUUCCAGUUACUUCUGCCAUGCUUAUGAAAGAAAGGCAAUCUGAUUCAAAGAAAAAAAUCUCACCACAUUAAGUUUCUAUUCCCCAAACCUGUGCAUUUUUGGUGACUGGAACUUAUAUAAUGAUUGUUAGAGGUUGGAAGGGGACUGGAGAGAUGGCUCUGCAGUUAAGAGUCCUGGCUGCUCCUCCAAAGGUCCUGUGCUUCCUUCCCAGCACCUACAUGGCAGCUCACACCUGUCUGUAGCUACUGUUCCACAGGAUCUGAUGCCCUCUUCUGGCUUCUAUAGCACAAGCAUGCAUACAAUACACAGGCACACAUACAGGCAGAACACCCAUGCACAUAAAACAAAAUUAAAUUUUAAAACUAAAAUAAUUGUUAGUCUUUGUCUUUUAGCUAGUUGGUGUGCUAUGCUGUGUUUUGACAAAUGUAUUACUUACUAUUAAAUAAAUAUUAAUUGUCCCUGGAUUCUCAGGAAGCCUCUAUGUACAUGUUUUAAUGCAAUAUAAAAUAAAAUACUCCACUAAG